UACGGAGGGAGCUAGCGUUGUUCGGAAUUACUGGGCGUAAAGCGCACGUAGGCGGCUUUGUAAGUUAGAGGUGAAAGCCCGGGGCUCAACCCCGGAAUUGCCUUUAAGACUGCAUCGCUUGAAUCCGGGAGAGGUGAGUGGAAUUCCCGGUGUAGAGGUGAAAUUCGUAGAUAUCGGGAGGAACACCAGUGGCGAAGGCGGCGCACUGGACCAUAACUGACGCUGAGGCGCGAAAGCUAGGGGAGCAAACAGG
RNAcentral lists this ribosomal RNA (253 nucleotides) under uncultured bacterium. RNAcentral describes it as "partial 16S ribosomal RNA". It matches the Rfam family "Bacterial small subunit ribosomal RNA", at positions 524 to 776 of the family's 1533-position model. The record is from RNAcentral.